This 262-nucleotide long non-coding RNA is filed under the name Trifolium pratense (red clover). Its description in RNAcentral is "long non-coding RNA (TPRA_LNC011358)". Lineage: Eukaryota; Viridiplantae; Streptophyta; Magnoliopsida; Fabales; Fabaceae. The record is from RNAcentral.
UUAGAUACAAAAAUGAGUUGCUUCAGAGUGAUGUGACACAAUGGAACCCACUUAAACUACUCAUAAUGAGUUGCACCAAUGGAGGUGAUUAAGAAUGUCAGUGGGACGGAGAUUGCUCCACCGCUCCCUAUUCCCGCCCUUCAAGAUGUCCCUCGUUCCAUCUCUACUCCCCACCAUGGAGAGAUUUUCUCCCCAUCCUUGUGGAUCCCCACGGGGACCAUAAACAUAGUAAAAUUGUAAGUUCUAUAUUCUUUUUAGGAUA